AGACAGACUGCUCUACGAAAGCAUGCUACCUCUUUCUAAUAUUGAACAUGUGCAGACAAAGGAAACGUUGCGAAAGCGCGGUCUAUAUAUUAUAUGUCUAUGACUGAAACACAAUUGCUCCUAUGUUAACCAAUCAUCUGCUGUUGUGCUUGUGCGCAUGUGCUGAACGAAAAUCUGCCUACAAUAAUAUUGAAACCGAAUUAAAAUGUUUUAUUAUUUAAUUUCGGUUUUUGUCAGACGAGAUUUAAGACAAAGAUAAUUUUAUGCUAUUUCUGGUUCAUGUGCAAAUAUUUGGAUUAUAUGCCAUUUGGAAAAGAAGAAAACGUAAGCGUUGGAUCAAUAGGAGAUGGUGGGUGCGACCCAUAAACACAAGACGAAAAGAAUAUGGUGAUUUUACAACCCUUUUUGCGUAAUUGAAGGAAGAUUGUGAUCUUUUCUUUCGAUAUACACGAAUGGAUGUCGAAACAUUUUAUGAAUUACUGGAAAUGGUGCGACCUUAUCUACAGAAAAACAGUUUACAAGAACCAAUUUGUCCGGAACAACGGCUUGUGAUUACAUUUAGAUAGAUUGUUAUUGCACAAGGUAAUUGGAGUCCAAUCAGAUGGCGAUUCUUUAUGACAAUCCAUGAACUAGAAAUCAAUAAAUGUAAAUGAGGUUA
This is a long non-coding RNA of Harpegnathos saltator (Jerdon's jumping ant), 658 nucleotides long. RefSeq lists it as uncharacterized. Lineage: Eukaryota; Metazoa; Arthropoda; Insecta; Hymenoptera; Formicidae. The transcript is spliced from 3 exons. The record is from RefSeq and is a predicted model, not a curated record.